Molecule: ribosomal RNA, 795 nt
Filed under: uncultured bacterium
Lineage: Bacteria
Description: bacterial SSU rRNA
Rfam family: Bacterial small subunit ribosomal RNA
Source: RNAcentral
AUUGAACGCUGGCGGCAUGCCUUACACAUGCAAGUCGAACGGCAGCACGGGGCAACCUGGUGGCGAGUGGCGAACGGGUGAGUAAUGCAUCGGAACGUGCCAUUGAGUGGGGGAUAACGUAGCGAAAGUUGCGCUAAUACCGCAUAUUCUGUGAGCAGGAAAGCAGGGGACCGCAAGGCCUUGCGCUCUUUGAGCGGCCGAUGUCAGAUUAGCUAGUUGGUGAGGUAACGGCUUACCAAGGCGACGAUCUGUAGCGGGUCUGAGAGGAUGAUCCGCCACACUGGAACUGAGACACGGUCCAGACUCCUACGGGAGGCAGCAGUGGGGAAUUUUGGACAAUGGGCGCAAGCCUGAUCCAGCCAUGCCGCGUGAGUGAAGAAGGCCUUCGGGUUGUAAAGCCCUUUCGGCCGGGAAGGAAUCGCAUGGGCCAAUACCCUGUGUGGAUGACGGUACCGGAAUAAGAAGCACCGGCUAACUACGUGCCAGCAGCCGCGGUAAUACGUAGGGUGCGAGCGUUAAUCGGAAUUACUGGGCGUAAAGCGUGCGCAGGCGGUUUUGUAAGACAGGCGUGAAAUCCCCGGGCUUAACCUGGGAACUGCGCUUGUGACUGCAAGGCUGGAGUACGGCAGAGGGGGGUGGAAUUCCACGUGUAGCAGUGAAAUGCGUAGAGAUGUGGAGGAACACCAAUGGCGAAGGCAGCCCCCUGGGUCGAUACUGACGCUCAUGCACGAAAGCGUGGGUAGCAAACAGGAUUAGAUACCCUGGUAGUCCACGCCCUAAACUAUGUCAACUAGG